Hemicordylus capensis (graceful crag lizard) is the source of this 972-nucleotide long non-coding RNA. RefSeq lists it as uncharacterized. NCBI's taxonomy places the organism in Eukaryota, Metazoa, Chordata, Lepidosauria, Squamata, Cordylidae. The transcript is spliced from 7 exons. The record is from RefSeq and is a predicted model, not a curated record.
UCCCAAGGCAAUAGGAGAAAAGGUGGUGGCAGCUCCUGCUCUCCAGUCUCUAGAUGGAAUUUGGUGUGGCGAAAUCAUGGUGGGAGCAGCUGGAGGUCUUUGUUAAACAGUAAAGCAGAAGCAAAACAGAGAGAGCAGAGAUGAACAAGGAGGCCCGUGCCCCCCCCACCCUUCCCUGUGUUUGCUUCGGAUUCCCUCCAGCAUUCUCAGCCUCUUCAGGGAUGUCUUCAGAAUUCCCAGCAGGCAACGCUUGGCAAUACAUGACAAUUUUUCAAGCGACCUACAAGGAGAUAGCCUACCUAUCCCUGACCUCAUGGAAACAUCAACUAAAUUCUUUCCCUGUGGAAUGGCUCUUUCUUAGCACACACAUAGAUCCUCAGCCUUCUGACUUUGCAAGGAGUUUGAGAAGUGCAUGAGAAAUUGGUCCCAAAGAGCUACUCCACUGGCAGCAGCAGGAGACAUCUUGCCGUGUCCUGCUGGCACUCAAUAAUCCGCCACUGAAGCAGACUCUUCACCCCACCUCAAGGAACGACCACCCCAGGUCAUCAAACAAUAAGCAAAGCUUAUUGCUCAGUGGCAACUGAAUGAGGUCCUUUGCCACACAGAACAAGCAAGGUAGCCAAUUCUCACAGCCUUCUCAUUUAUAAAACUGGAUUACUUCCUACUGAAAAUUCAAAGGAAUACCAGAUCCUAGCUGAAGCCAUCCAUUUAACAAGAAGCUCUUUUGAGGAACUUGAAACAUCCCAAGAUUCCUGUGUUUUUAACAGCUGCACGACAGGCAGAAAAAUCAACAGGUGAAAAGUCAACCCCAUCACUCCAUCCCUGUGACAAUAAAAUCGUCACCUGUUGAAUUUCAUCCAGGCGGCAGGCACAGAUACCCUGCCGGGAGGGGGCGAAAAAUGACUACUCUGUUCCAAGAUAACUUAAUUCCGAGGAGGAAUCUCCUUACCUGCAAGAAAGAGUAUAGGCUGU